Molecule: ribosomal RNA, 652 nt
Filed under: uncultured bacterium
Lineage: Bacteria
Description: bacterial SSU rRNA
Rfam family: Bacterial small subunit ribosomal RNA (bases 1-552)
Source: RNAcentral
CCUACGGGAGGCAGCAGUAAGGAAUAUUGGUCAAUGGACGAAAGUCUGAACCAGCCAUGCCGCGUGAAGGAUGAAGGCCCUCUGGGUUGUAAACUUCUUUUAUCUGGGACGAAAAAAGGGUAUUCUUACUCACUUGACGGUACCAGAGGAAUAAGCACCGGCUAACUCCGUGCCAGCAGCCGCGGUAAUACGGAGGGUGCAAGCGUUAUCCGGAUUCACUGGGUUUAAAGGGAGCGUAGGUGGGCUGAUAAGUCAGUGGUGAAAUCUCCGGGCUUAACCCGGAAACUGCCAUUGAUACUAUUAGUCUUGAAUUAUCUGGAGGUAAGCGGAAUAUGUCAUGUAGCGGUGAAAUGCUUAGAUAUGACAUAGAACACCAAUUGCGAAGGCAGCUUGCUACGGAUUGAUUGACACUGAGGCUCGAAAGCGUGGGGAUCAAACAGGAUUAGAUACCCCUGGUAGUCCACGACCUAACCGAACUAGAGUACUACGUACACUACACGACGACUACACUAGUUGGUGUCGUGUAGACGAAGACGAGUAAGUAGUACCACCGUACGGAAGGUAACGGUACCGACCGAAGGUUAGUAAACGUUAAAGUUAAGUAAGUUAGUUACGGCGUGAGGAGAGCGACGGACGACGACGAGGGAGGAGG